CCCAGAAAAUGAAAACAGCUACCAUAAACUUGACUCAAGCAACAUCUAAACUACAAAAUUGUUCCCUACAAGUAUGACGCGAAUUGCAAAGUGCUAGCAAAAUUGUAAAUAACAGAUCAAUAAGAUUGAAUUGUUGAUUUUUACACAUAUGGAGGUUAAAUAGCUUGAAAAUCAAGAUUCUUUGUUGUUGAUUUUUACACAUGGAGGUUAAAUAGCUUGAAAAUCAAGAUUCUUUGUCUUUCGGUAUAUUACGAGGCAGUCUGUUGAGAACAUUCUCAUCAACAAUUUUAUAAUGUUUUGAAAAUUGGUGAUGGAUAACUCCGAAAC
RNAcentral lists this long non-coding RNA (327 nucleotides) under Medicago truncatula (barrel medic). RNAcentral describes it as "long non-coding RNA (MTRU_LNC003828)". The record is from RNAcentral. Lineage: Eukaryota; Viridiplantae; Streptophyta; Magnoliopsida; Fabales; Fabaceae.